RNAcentral lists this ribosomal RNA (462 nucleotides) under uncultured bacterium. RNAcentral describes it as "partial 16S ribosomal RNA". It matches the Rfam family "Bacterial small subunit ribosomal RNA", at positions 28 to 507 of the family's 1533-position model. The record is from RNAcentral.
GACGAACGCUGGCGGCGUGCUUAACACAUGCAAGUCGAACGGAAAGGCCCUUCGGGGUACUCGAGUGGCGAACGGGUGAGUAACACGUGGGUGAUCUGCCCUGCACUUUGGGUUAAGCCUGGGAAACUGGGUCUAAUACCGAAUAGGACCACGCUCUUCCUUGUGUGUGGUGGAAAGCUUUUGCGGUGUGGGAUGGGCCUGCGGCCUAUCAGCUUGUUGGUGGGGUAAUGGCCUACCAAGGCGACGACGGGUAUCCGGCCUGAGAGGGUGACCUGCCACACGGGGACUGAGAUACGGACCAGACUGCUACGGGAGGCAGCAGUGGGGAAUAUUGCACAAUGGGCGCAAGCCUGAUGCAGCGACGCCGCGUGAGGGAUGACGGCCUUCGGGUUGUAAACCUCUUUCAAUAGGGACGAAGCGAAAGUGACGGUACCUAUAGAAGAAGCACCGGCCAACUACGUG